CUGCCUGGUAGUGGGGGACGAACGUUUCGAAAGGAAACGCUAAUACCGCAUACGUCCUACGGGAGAAAGCAGGGGACCUUCGGGCCUUGCGCUAUCAGAUGAGCCUAGGUCGGAUUAGCUAGUUGGUGAGGUAAUGGCUCACCAAGGCGACGAUCCGUAACUGGUCUGAGAGGAUGAUCAGUCACACUGGAACUGAGACACGGUCCAGACUCCUACGGGAGGCAGCAGGA
This 230-nucleotide ribosomal RNA is filed under the name uncultured Pseudomonas sp. RNAcentral's name for it is "partial 16S ribosomal RNA". It matches the Rfam family "Bacterial small subunit ribosomal RNA", at positions 126 to 354 of the family's 1533-position model. Lineage: Bacteria; Pseudomonadati; Pseudomonadota; Gammaproteobacteria; Pseudomonadales; Pseudomonadaceae. The record is from RNAcentral.